AGAACGAACGCUGGCGGCGUGGAUAAGACAUGCAAGUCGAACGCGACUUAUCAGAUUAGCAAUAAUUUGGUAAGUUGAGUGGCGAAAGGGUGCGUAACACGUGGGAAUUUACCAAGAAGUGGGGAAUAGCUCGACGAAAGUCGAAUUAAUACCGCAUAUGAUCGCAAGAUCAAAGCCGGGGACCGCAAGGCCUGGCGCUUUUUGAGAAGCCCGCGGCCCAUCAGCUAGUUGGCGGGUAACGGCCCACCAAGGCUAUGACGGGUAGCUGGUCUGAGAGGACGACCAGCCACACUGGAACUGAGACACGGCCCAGACUCCUACGGGAGGCAGCAGUGGGGAAUAUUGCGCAAUGGGCGAAAGCCUGACGCAGCGACGCCGCGUGGGGGAUGAAGGCCUUCGGGUUGUAAACCCUUUCAGCAGGGACGAAGCGAAGUGACGGUACCUGCAGAAGAAGCGCCGGCUAACUACGUGCCAGCAGCCGC
This 482-nucleotide ribosomal RNA is filed under the name uncultured bacterium. RNAcentral's name for it is "SSU rRNA". It matches the Rfam family "Bacterial small subunit ribosomal RNA", at positions 26 to 518 of the family's 1533-position model. The record is from RNAcentral.